Molecule: ribosomal RNA, 429 nt
Filed under: Fusobacteriota bacterium
Lineage: Bacteria; Fusobacteriati; Fusobacteriota
Description: Fusobacteria bacterium partial 16S ribosomal RNA
Rfam family: Bacterial small subunit ribosomal RNA
Source: RNAcentral
UGGGGAAUCUUCCGCAAUGGACGAAAGUCUGACGGAGCAACGCCGCGUGAGUGAAGACGGCCUUCGGGUUGUAAAGCUCUGUGAUCCGGGACGAAAGAGCCUGAGGUAAAUAGCCUAAGGAAGUGACGGUACCGGAAAAGCAAGCCACGGCUAACUACGUGCCAGCAGCCGCGGUAAUACGUAGGUGGCAAGCGUUGUCCGGAAUUAUUGGGCGUAAAGCGCGCGCAGGCGGCUUACUAAGUCCAUCUUAAAAGGGCGGGGCUUAACCCCGUGAUGGGAUGGAAACUGGAAAGCUGGAGUAUCGGAGAGGAAAGUGGAAUUCCUAGUGUAGCGGUGAAAUGCGUAGAGAUUAGGAAGAACACCGGUGGCGAAGGCGACUUUCUGGACGAAAACUGACGCUGAGGCGCGAAAGCGUGGGGAGCAAACAGG